Molecule: ribosomal RNA, 442 nt
Filed under: uncultured bacterium
Lineage: Bacteria
Description: partial 16S ribosomal RNA
Rfam family: Bacterial small subunit ribosomal RNA
Source: RNAcentral
CCUACGGGUGGCUGCAGUGGGGAAUAUUGGGCAAUGGGCGCAAGCCUGACCCAGCAACGCAGCGUGAAGGAAGAAGGCUUUCGGGGUGUAAACUUCUUUUAAGAGGGAAGAGCAGAAGACGGUAGCUCGUGAAUAAGCAACGGCUAACUACGUGACAGCAGCCGCGGUAAUACGUAGGUGGCAAGCGUUGUCCGGCUUUACUGGGUGUAAAGGACGUGAAGCCGGGAAGACAAGUCAGAUGUGAAAUCCCGCGGCUCAACCCCGGAACUGCAUUUGAAACUGUUUUUCUUGAGUACCGGGGCGGUCAUCGGAAUUUCUUGUGUAGCGGUGAAAUGCGUAGAUAUAAGGAAGAACACCAGUUGCGAAGGCGGAUGACUGGACGGCAACUGACGGUGAGGCGCGAAAGCGUGGGGAGCAAACAGGAUUAGAUACCCUAGUAGUC